Girardinichthys multiradiatus is the source of this 372-nucleotide long non-coding RNA. RefSeq lists it as uncharacterized. The record is from RefSeq and is a predicted model, not a curated record. The transcript is spliced from 3 exons. NCBI's taxonomy places the organism in Eukaryota, Metazoa, Chordata, Actinopteri, Cyprinodontiformes, Goodeidae.
AGCCAAGCCAAGCUGCGGUUCCCCUCGAGCCAACGCCACAGCAACACCACACAUCUUUCCAUACAUCGGCAGAGGCACGGUGAAGACCACCGAUCUGCUGCUCCAUAGGUCGCCUUGGUGACCCAACUGGUUCGACAACCUGUGGUCUGCAAACCGGAGACACCAUGUGUAUUUCACCUGAGCGCUUUUGGGGCUGUAUGAACUACUUCACCUCAGCUCUUCCCUUCCUGUCUGCUGCACAACAGGGCUUCCUGGGAGAAAACAUCCAGGUCCAGUUGCAGGUUCCUGUAGGUGUAGAGGGCUUCUGUACUACCUUUGCUGAAUGUUCAACCAGCCACCCUGAUGCAAAUGUCCAAGUGGGAUGCUUUUUAC